AAUAGAUACCCUGGUAGUCCACGCCGUAAACGAUGAGUGCUAAGUGUUAGAGGGUUUCCGCCCUUUAGUGCUGCAGCUAACGCAUUAAGCACUCCGCCUGGGGAGUACGGCCGCAAGGCUGAAACUCAAAGGAAUUGACGGGGGCCCGCACAAGCGGUGGAGCAUGUGGUUUAAUUCGAAGCAACGCGAAGAACCUUACCAGGUCUUGACAUCCUCUGACCUCCCUGGAGACAGGGCCUUCCCCUUCGGGGGACAGAGUGACAGGUGGUGCAUGGUUGUCGUCAGCUCGUGUCGUGAGAUGUUGGGUUAAGUCCCGCAACGAGCGCAACCCUGUCGUUAGUUGCCAGCAUUCAGUUGGGGACUCUAACGAGACUGCCAGUGACAAACUGGAGGAAGGUGGGGAGUGACGUCAAAUCAUCAUGCCCCUUAUGACCUGGGCUACACACGUGCUACAAUGGUUGGUACAAAGAGAAGCGAAGCGGUGACGUGGAGCAAACCUACAUAAAGCCAAUCUCAGUUCGGAUUGUAGG
This 530-nucleotide ribosomal RNA is filed under the name uncultured bacterium. RNAcentral describes it as "bacterial SSU rRNA". It matches the Rfam family "Bacterial small subunit ribosomal RNA", at positions 777 to 1304 of the family's 1533-position model. The record is from RNAcentral.